Molecule: ribosomal RNA, 283 nt
Filed under: Lumbriculus variegatus
Lineage: Eukaryota; Metazoa; Annelida; Clitellata; Lumbriculida; Lumbriculidae
Description: partial large subunit ribosomal RNA
Rfam family: Eukaryotic large subunit ribosomal RNA
Source: RNAcentral
GGGACCUGCCGAAUCAACUAGCCCUGAAAAUGGUAGGGCCUCUCGCGUCGGGCCUAUACCGGACNGUCGCGGCAGUACGUGCUGUGCGGAUGCCAUGCCGCGACGAGUAGGCAGGUCGCCGCGGUGAGCUUAGAAGCCUGGGGCGUGAGCCUGGGUGGAGCCGCCGCGGGUGCAGAUCUUGGUGGUAGUAGCAAAUAUUCAAACGAGAACUUUUGAGACUGAAGUGGAGAAGGGUCAUGUGAACAGCAGUUGAACAUGGGUCAGUCGAUCCUAAGCGAUAGAG